GGCUUUACUCUCGUAUCGUUGCCCUACCGCAAGAUUUAACGAAGACAUAUCCAACCUUGGAAGAACCUCCUCACUCUCUUUAGACCCGAUCAUCGAGAAGUUCUGAUAUAUCUUCUUGGGAGGUAUCGUUGGUGACUCUUCGUCUUCUAAAGGAGAGUCACCGUAUGAACUGAAGUUAUCAUCUUCAGAUGACGCACCGUCCGAGUCGUCGAACAU
Molecule: long non-coding RNA, 216 nt
Filed under: Brassica napus (rape)
Lineage: Eukaryota; Viridiplantae; Streptophyta; Magnoliopsida; Brassicales; Brassicaceae
Description: long non-coding RNA (BNAP_LNC004535)
Source: RNAcentral